Molecule: long non-coding RNA, 4461 nt
Filed under: Zea mays
Lineage: Eukaryota; Viridiplantae; Streptophyta; Magnoliopsida; Poales; Poaceae
Description: long non-coding RNA (ZMAY_LNC004053)
Source: RNAcentral
UCAGAGCAGCAUGAUGACGAAGGAAGGAUGCCAACGCAUGCAGCUGGCGAUCAAUGAUCCCGGGGGCGGGGAUCGGAGGAAGACAUGCACAACAGCGCGUGGCGUGGGGUAUCUGCGACAUGACAUGGAUCGGAUCCGGCCUGCUCGUUGGUUUUGUAAACAUUCUUAUCUCCUUCUUGUACCUCGCUUCUCUUCUUUCGUUGCUCGCCGCUUUGCCCGCUUCGCUUUCCUUGCUCUUGGCGCUUCUUUAGUCUAUCUUUCUUUCUCUCUCUCUCUCUCCAUCCACCUCUGCUGCUUCCUGAUAGCUUUGCUCUUUUCCUCUUUGUCUUUGCGAGUUCAAAGCAAAUCUGCCGCGCUUUUGUAGGACCACGCAUGGGCUGGGUCAGGUGAGAGCUGCCUUCGCGACGUGCGUGAGUGACCAGCUCCAGCUGCUUCGGCGUUCCGUCCGAGCUGCUCUGCUCAGUCCUCGCUCCCUUUGGAAGCUGGCGGUGGCGGGGGCCCCUGGACUGGACAUGCCUCCUUCGCUUCGCUUGUUUAUUUGUCGUUCGAGACUAGAGAGAAGAUGGCCGUGCGGACUCUCCCUCCUCUCAUGCGGGCCUAUCCUGCGUGUGCGGUGUGCCCACAUGGCGAGCUACCCCGGCGCCGGGCGGCGCCUAUAGAUUCUUGUCGAGUUUCGUGCAGUGAUUCAAAUCAGAGUGCGAGAUCGUUGCCACACUCCAUUUCCAUCAUCCUGCGGUUACCAAAAAAAAAAGCAAAAUGUCAUGAUAUGAGGGAAUUGGUGUUUUGUUUGGACGGGCCGUUCGAUGUAUGAUCCAAUGGCACAAAUUAUUUGUGCUCCAUUUAUACAUCUUCCGCAUGUUCUUCUUUAUUCAUCUUCUUUCACUAUAUAUAUUAGCAUAUAACCCAUGCUAAUGCAACGAUAUCAGCGAGGAGGGUUAACAACGACGAAGGCAACGCGAGGGGAGAGGUUGAUGACGGCGUUACUGAGGGGAGGAGGUGACAAGGACAAGAGGAGGCUAGCGACGACGUGGCACAGGGGGAGAGGGAUUAAGGAUGAUCCAAAUAAUAUUGUUUAUUGGGUUUGAGUGAAUAAGAGAGAGUGUUUUAUCUAGCGAUCUGAACUGUUGGUUUUGAUGGUGUGUUAAGUCUGGUUGCAUUUUGUUUUGUGGAUUUAGUGUGGAGGUUAUGGGUGUGAUGGUGACUUUGCUGGGUGGGUUUUCAGAUUUUAAAGUGGUAGAUUAUAUAGUGGCAUAGAUAUAUGGUCGAGUACACCCACUAGCAACUACCACCACUAGUGGUGACCUGAUGGGCGUUCAGUCCGGUCUAUUCUGUCUUCAUAAAAUACAAAUAUGGACACACUAUAUAACUAUCCCACUAGUUAUUAGUGAUAUGAAAGAACCGCAGCUAGGAACGGCUCGCCACAGAAUAACGUACGGCGACAGGAGAUGGCUCGAAAAAAGAAAAAAAGGCUGUCGUCUUCCUCCUCCUGUAGCAUCGUGGACCAGAGGCUUUCUGGGUCGCUUUCUCCGCGCGCUCUCAAUGUCCCGCUCGGGUUGCUCACGGUGGGAAAGCACGCGACGCUUGCCGCGACCCAGAACUCCUCGCUGCCUUCCCUUCGAGAUGAGGUGAAGUCUUCUUGUUCCGUCUUAGGGUUUCCGUCGGACUUUAUUGGCUCGCACUCUUUUCCGCACCUUGCUUCCUCGCUCUCGCGUCUUUGGUCGCUGCCGUCGUCGUUUCGUGCUAGCUUCCGCGGUGGGUGGUUUGAAUCUCCGAUUCGUCCCCCGCUUGUGGACGAGGAGUGGCUGGCGCUGUCGCGUGCGGUGUUGGUGUCAAAGAUGGAUCCGAAGGGGCGAAACCCUAACUGGGAUCGAUGGAAUCAGAAAGAGAAUCUUCAAGGUUCCCAAUCGUGGAACAAGAUCCGGAAUCCCAGCUGGAGAUUGAAGCCGAUUCUUGGAAAAUCUGACGUCAAGGAAGACAUUGGCGCUUCGUCCGCUGACGAGGGAGGUCACACAAGUAUCCUCAAAACCCCUCCCGCGGCUAUGAAAAAAGAGGUUGAGGUUGCGCGUCGUCCCUUUUGUCAAAAAUGUGGGGUUGAUGGCCACCAUGCUCGUGAUUGCUUUCAGUCCUUGUGGUGUGACAUUUGUCACAAAGAAACCCACAUGACUGCCCGAUGUGUGUUGCCUAAGCAGAACAAACCUUGUAUGCCUAUUGUGGGUAUGGCGGCUGAUGGAUUAGGGUUUUACUCUUCCCAUUUUGCGAAACCCCUGUCUAGAAAACCUAAAAGAAGUUUCAUCGGUUUGGUGACUGUUAUGGAGGGUUUGAUUUCUGCUGAAGAUCUUGAGAAAGACUUCGGGUUUCACUUUCCCUGGGGCAAGACUUGGAAAGCUACUGUAACACCUAAAUUUGGAAAUCGUAUGAAGAGAGAAUAUUUCCUUUAUCUAUAUGUGGGUGUACCAUCUUUAGUUACUACCACAUGUGAUUAAACACCAUCAAAAGGGGAUUAAAUGACCAAUAACACCUAAAUAAAUCAUGCAUCAUGCUGAGUUUUUAUAUGAUUGUGCAUUAAAUAAAAUAAUAAGGAUAAUAAUAGCAAGGUAAUAUUUACUAGAAGUUGGAUUAAAAUCAUAAAUAGAAAACUAGGGUUGAAAAUAAGAAAAGAUAACUAAAGUAUAUAAAAUAUAAAUAAAAUAUUUCCCAAAUGUGGUAUUUCUUAAAGUUCACAAUAUAAUACGAGACAAAGUAUGCACAAGGUUUGAAUUUAAAACUUGAAUUCAAAUUGAAGUUGGGAAUAAAGAAAAAUAGAAAUGAAAUAAAAAGGAAAAAAAAGACCAAAACUCGGUUUGGGCCGGCAGCCAACCUAUUCAGCCCACCCAAGCUUUCCUCACCCGCGCAGCCCAACCCCGUCGCUGCUACUGCGCUGUUGGGCCCACGCACCAGUCGCACUUAAACUACCCGCGCGCACUGCCUUCUCCCUCUCGCUCUCGCGCACUGACAUCUGGGCCCGCGUUGCCAGGGUCUUCCUCAUCCCGCGGACUUCGGAUGUCGUUGCCGCCGCCGCGCAAAUUCCGGCCAGCUGGUGCAACGGCUUGCCGAACCAGUAGUCCGCAUGGCUCGGUGGAUAAAUGCGCAGGUCGCGCUCCUCUUUCCAUCCUACCUUCCUCUCCCAUCUGCGCGCCUAUUGCCAUACUCGUCGGCCAGGAGCUCCCGCUGUCACAUAAUCCGCACCUCGCCGUCACCCGAAGCCUAGGAUCGGGCCAGGAACCUGCACCGAGCUGUUGUGAGGCUUUCCGCGACGCUAUCGGGUGGAAUCAACGACGGAGCGACUAGUAAUUGCUCACCGUAGUGUGCGGGGUACCGCCGAGCCGCCUGGACGCGUGGACAGGGCCGUCACCGCUUCAUACCGAGGUAAUGCGCCCACCAACGGAUUCGCCUUGACCUCCUCUACGCGUAGUGCUAGGGAAUCGAAAACUUGACAGCUGGGCAUGUAGGUUGGGGAGCUCCAGCCAUGGCACUUCGCCGCGGUGAGCACGCCGUCGGGCUUGGAGGUGUUCGGGGAAGGAGGACGGUUUCUGACCGUCGAUGCGCGAUGUGCGGCUCAAAUCGAAUCAGACGUAGGGAUUAGGCUGGAACUCACCGUGGCCAUUGAUCUCGACGUGGACGGUUACGAUUAGACUCAGCUCUUCCCCUUUUGUUAUUCUGACCCGGACCGUUGGAUCUAUCUUGAGCGGACCAGAUUAGAUCGUGGAUAAGCUAUUUGGUUACAUCGGACCCGGGCCGUCAGAUCCCGAUCUAGCGGUUGGUGCUGCGUACCGAUUGAAGGUUUUAUCUGGUGCACCGGAUCUUGAUCGUGCGGCCCUGGAUGCUCGGUACCCCUUCGUCGUACCUGUUUUGCAUAAGAGCCCUCCUAGUUUUAGGAAACCAACCCGCAAUCCACCCUGUAUAGUGCGCUGAGUCUUAGAAAGUCUUUCGCGAAAGCCCCUGCGCUUUACAGAAAAUGUGGCCUAGUCCAGAGGAUUAGAAAAUCAGAGAAUUGAAUUUAGAAAUAAAUUUUUAAUAUUAAAUUAAUGACAGAAACUUGUUUAAUUUGUAGAAAAUGCGUAUAAACUCCAAAUUGGACCAUUCCAGUUCCUAAAUUUUCAUAAUAUUAUCGUCUAUCCAUUUGUGCCACUGUCUUGACAUAUAAGACAAUUUAAAAUUUAUCUAUCACUUAAUCAUGUAUUAAAUACACAAAACCUUGGAAAAUUCAUAACUUAAAAUCUUUAACUCCAAAUUUAAUGAUUCCAGUUCCUGUGAUCUCAUUUUAGUGUCUAGAUUAUUACUGUGUAUUUUGUUUACAUGGUUGGUGUAAUGUUAAUUCUUGCUAUACUAUGUAUGUAUUGUGUUGAUGCGAGUAGACGAGCAAGCUACAGAGGAUUCUAAGGUUCAGCUGGUAGAGACUGCUGAGCAGGAGCUCAUUGAAGG